RNAcentral lists this ribosomal RNA (2822 nucleotides) under Salmonella enterica subsp. enterica. Its description in RNAcentral is "partial 23S ribosomal RNA". It matches the Rfam family "Bacterial large subunit ribosomal RNA". The record is from RNAcentral. Lineage: Bacteria; Pseudomonadati; Pseudomonadota; Gammaproteobacteria; Enterobacterales; Enterobacteriaceae.
CUGCGAUAAGCGCCGGUAAGGUGAUAUGAACCGUUAUAACCGGCGAUACCCGAAUGGGGAAACCCAGUGUGAUUCGUCACACUAUCAUUAACUGAAUCCAUAGGUUAAUGAGGCGAACCGGGGGAACUGAAACAUCUAAGUACCCCGAGGAAAAGAAAUCAACCGAGAUUCCCCCAGUAGCGGCGAGCGAACGGGGAGGAGCCCAGAGCCUGAAUCAGCAUGUGUGUUAGUGGAAGCGUCUGGAAAGGCGCGCGAUACAGGGUGACAGCCCCGUACACAAAAGCGCAUGUGCUGUGAGCUCGAUGAGUAGGGCGGGACACGUGGUAUCCUGUCUGAAUAUGGGGGGACCAUCCUCCAAGGCUAAAUACUCCUGACUGACCGAUAGUGAACCAGUACCGUGAGGGAAAGGCGAAAAGAACCCCGGCGAGGGGAGUGAAAAAGAACCUGAAACCGUGUACGUACAAGCAGUGGGAGCACAGGUUUACCUGUGUGACUGCGUACCUUUUGUAUAAUGGGUCAGCGACUUAUAUUCUGUAGCAAGGUUAACCGAAUAGGGGAGCCGGAGGGAAACCGAGUCUUAAUUGGGCGUUAAGUUGCAGGGUAUAGACCCGAAACCCGGUGAUCUAGCCAUGGGCAGGUUGAAGGUUGGGUAACACUAACUGGAGGACCGAACCGACUAAUGUUGAAAAAUUAGCGGAUGACCUGUGGCUGGGGGUGAAAGGCCAAUCAAACCGGGAGAUAGCUGGUUCUCCCCGAAAGCUAUUUAGGUAGCGCCUCGUGAAUUCAUCUCCGGGGGUAGAGCACUGUUUCGGCUAGGGGGCCAUCCCGGCUUACCAACCCGAUGCAAACUGCGAAUACCGGAGAAUGUUAUCACGGGAGACACACGGCGGGUGCUAACGUCCGUCGUGAAGAGGGAAACAACCCAGACCGCCAGCUAAGGUCCCAAAGUCAUGGUUAAGUGGGAAACGAUGUGGGAAGGCCCAGACAGCCAGGAUGUUGGCUUAGAAGCAGCCAUCAUUUAAAGAAAGCGUAAUAGCUCACUGGUCGAGUCGGCCUGCGCGGAAGAUGUAACGGGGCUAAACCAUGCACCGAAGCUGCGGCAGCGAACGUAUCACCCAAGACAACUUUACGGAGUUGACGAUUGACGGAGCGAAGCGACGUCAAAGCGUUCAUUAAAGUCGAGUUGGCUUAGGGAUACGUUCGUUGGGUAGGGGAGCGUUCUGUAAGCCUGUGAAGGUGUGUCGUGAGGCAUGCUGGAGGUAUCAGAAGUGCGAAUGCUGACAUAAGUAACGAUAAAGCGGGUGAAAAGCCCGCUCGCCGGAAGACCAAGGGUUCCUGUCCAACGUUAAUCGGGGCAGGGUGAGUCGACCCCUAAGGCGAGGCCGAAAGGCGUAGUCGAUGGGAAACGGGUUAAUAUUCCCGUACUUGGUGUUACUGCGAAGGGGGGACGGAGAAGGCUAUGUUGGCCGGGCGACGGUUGUCCCGGUUUAAGCGUGUAGGUGUGUGUUCCAGGUAAAUCCGGUUCACUUUAACACUGAGGCGUGACGACGAGGCACUACGGUGCUGAAGCAACAAAUGCCCUGCUUCCAGGAAAAGCCUCUAAGCAUCAGGUAACACGAAAUCGUACCCCAAACCGACACAGGUGGUCAGGUAGAGAAUACCAAGGCGCUUGAGAGAACUCGGGUGAAGGAACUAGGCAAAAUGGUGCCGUAACUUCGGGAGAAGGCACGCUGACACGUAGGUGAAGUGAUUUACUCAUGGAGCUGAAGUCAGUCGAAGAUACCAGCUGGCUGCAACUGUUUAUUAAAAACACAGCACUGUGCAAACACGAAAGUGGACGUAUACGGUGUGACGCCUGCCCGGUGCCGGAAGGUUAAUUGAUGGGGUCAGCGCAAGCGAAGCUCCUGAUCGAAGCCCCGGUAAACGGCGGCCGUAACUAUAACGGUCCUAAGGUAGCGAAAUUCCUUGUCGGGUAAGUUCCGACCUGCACGAAUGGCGUAAUGAUGGCCAGGCUGUCUCCACCCGAGACUCAGUGAAAUUGAACUCGCUGUGAAGAUGCAGUGUACCCGCGGCAAGACGGAAAGACCCCGUGAACCUUUACUAUAGCUUGACACUGAACAUUGAGCCUUGAUGUGUAGGAUAGGUGGGAGGCUUUGAAGUGUGGACGCCAGUCUGCAUGGAGCCGACCUUGAAAUACCACCCUUUAAUGUUUGAUGUUCUAACGUGGACCCGUAAUCCGGGUUGCGGACAGUGUCUGGUGGGUAGUUUGACUGGGGCGGUCUCCUCCUAAAGAGUAACGGAGGAGCACGAAGGUUGGCUAAUCCUGGUCGGACAUCAGGAGGUUAGUGCAAUGGCAUAAGCCAGCUUGACUGCGAGCGUGACGGCGCGAGCAGGUGCGAAAGCAGGUCAUAGUGAUCCGGUGGUUCUGAAUGGAAGGGCCAUCGCUCAACGGAUAAAAGGUACUCCGGGGAUAACAGGCUGAUACCGCCCAAGAGUUCAUAUCGACGGCGGUGUUUGGCACCUCGAUGUCGGCUCAUCACAUCCUGGGGCUGAAGUAGGUCCCAAGGGUAUGGCUGUUCGCCAUUUAAAGUGGUACGCGAGCUGGGUUUAGAACGUCGUGAGACAGUUCGGUCCCUAUCUGCCGUGGGCGCUGGAGAACUGAGGGGGGCUGCUCCUAGUACGAGAGGACCGGAGUGGACGCAUCACUGGUGUUCGGGUUGUCAUGCCAAUGGCACUGCCCGGUAGCUAAAUGCGGAAGAGAUAAGUGCUGAAAGCAUCUAAGCACGAAACUUGCCCCGAGAUGAGUUCUCCCUGAGACUUAG